Molecule: ribosomal RNA, 559 nt
Filed under: Bifidobacterium pseudocatenulatum
Lineage: Bacteria; Bacillati; Actinomycetota; Actinomycetes; Bifidobacteriales; Bifidobacteriaceae
Description: bacterial SSU rRNA
Rfam family: Bacterial small subunit ribosomal RNA
Source: RNAcentral
UUCUCCUGGAAAACGGGUGGUAAUGCCGGAUGCUCCGACUCCUCGCAUGGGGUGUCGGGAAAGAUUUCAUCGGUAUGGGAUGGGGUCGCGUCCUAUCAGGUAGUCGGCGGGGUAACGGCCCACCGAGCCUACGACGGGUAGCCGGCCUGAGAGGGCGACCGGCCACAUUGGGACUGAGAUACGGCCCAGACUCCUACGGGAGGCAGCAGUGGGGAAUAUUGCACAAUGGGCGCAAGCCUGAUGCAGCGACGCCGCGUGCGGGAUGACGGCCUUCGGGUUGUAAACCGCUUUUGAUCGGGAGCAAGCCUUCGGGUGAGUGUACCUUUCGAAUAAGCACCGGCUAACUACGUGCCAGCAGCCGCGGUAAUACGUAGGGUGCAAGCGUUAUCCGGAAUUAUUGGGCGUAAAGGGCUCGUAGGCGGUUCGUCGCGUCCGGUGUGAAAGUCCAUCGCUUAACGGUGGAUCUGCGCCGGGUACGGGCGGGCUGGAGUGCGGUAGGGGAGACUGGAAUUCCCGGUGUAACGGUGGAAUGUGUAGAUAUCGGAAAAGAACACCAAUG